CACGACCUUGGGGUGCAUUCCACGACCCUGGGGUGGUCGUGGAACGUACCCGAAGGUCGUAGAACGUCGCCGCGGGUCGUGG
RNAcentral lists this transfer RNA (82 nucleotides) under Actinomyces glycerinitolerans. The record is from RNAcentral. Lineage: Bacteria; Bacillati; Actinomycetota; Actinomycetes; Actinomycetales; Actinomycetaceae.